GGCCUGGCUGCGUGGUCUUGCCACUGGUAAGCACUGCGCUGGUCGGGUCUUUCCUUCUGGGGAGUGUGCGUGCUCUUAACUGGGUGCGCACAGGAUCCAGGACUUUUACUUUGAAAAAAUUAGAGUGUUUAAAGCAGGCCUACGCUUGAAUACAUUAGCAUGGAAUAAUAGAAUAGGACU
This 180-nucleotide ribosomal RNA is filed under the name uncultured Glomeromycotina. Its description in RNAcentral is "partial small subunit ribosomal RNA". The stretch from base 92 to 180 matches the Rfam family "Eukaryotic small subunit ribosomal RNA", at positions 738 to 829 of the family's 1831-position model. Lineage: Eukaryota; Fungi; Glomeromycota. The record is from RNAcentral.